GGAAGCUGGGGCGGUGACGUCACGGGGGGCGGCCUCUAGACUAACACUGUCAGUGCCGGAGCACAGCGCAUCACUCUCUCAGCUCUGCUGCACCGCUUUAUGUAGAGGAGGCGUCUGAGGCCUCAUUCCAUUUUCGGUAAACAGUAGAAUGAUGUGCGUUACCAAAAAGCUCUCUCUUGGUCUCAUCUGUCCACAAGACGUUUUCCCAGAAGGAUUUUGGCAUAUUCAAGGUAAUUUUGGCAAAAUCUAAUGUUGCUUUUUUAUGUCUCUGUGUCAGCAGUGGGGUCCCCCUGGGUCUCCUGCCAUAGCGUUUCAGGUGGCCGGAAGAAGCGUCAAUUGACGUGAAACGUUGCCAGUCCCUGCACCUGCCCCACUCUCCCCCUGUUUCAUGCUGUAGCGUGUCUAUCCACCUUUGAUUUUGCUCCGAUGCCGGAAUAAAUCUUACCAGUUACAGAAGUCUUAUGGCAUAUUAAGAAAUUUGACUUCGGGACAUGCUUGACCUCACUCGUUUGUUCAUGGAUUCUACUACUGGUGUUUCUACAAGUUUACCUACAUUUCACUGCUUGAGGAACGUCAACUUCACCUUCAUCUUCUCACCUGUAUCUUCUUCAGUAGUCUUCAAGGUUUUGGAUUCUCCUUCAAGUUGAACUGGUUGAACUUUUAUUUCAGGUCACACAAAGAAAGAGGACUAAUGACAGUCAAUGGGUCCUUAUAUAACCUGGGAUAUACACCUAUUGGAUACCUGUUGUGACAGCAUGUUUGUGUGUGCUUACCUGACACCUGCGUGUGUUACCAAAGUUUUUUCUCUGUAUUACUUGAAUAUUACG
Molecule: long non-coding RNA, 827 nt
Organism: Hyla sarda
Lineage: Eukaryota; Metazoa; Chordata; Amphibia; Anura; Hylidae
Exons: 3
Source: RefSeq, a predicted model, not a curated record